CCCUUAGAUGUUCUGGGCCGCACGCGCGCUACACUGAUGCGUUCAACGAGUAUACAACCUUGAUCGAUAGGUCUGGGUAAUCUUGUGAAUGCGCAUCGUGCUAGGGAUAGAUUGUUGCAAUUUUCAAUCUUGAACGAGGAAUUCCUAGUAAACGCAAGUCAUCAGCUUGCAUUGAUUACGUCCCUGCCCUUUGUACACACCGCCCGUCGCUACUACCGAUUGAAUGGUUUAGUGAGAUCCUUGGAUCGGCCCUGUCGCGGCUGGCAACGGCCGCGUCGGCGCGUCGAGAAGACGAUCAAACUUGAUCAUUUAGAGGAAGUAAAAGUCGUAACA
RNAcentral lists this ribosomal RNA (333 nucleotides) under uncultured eukaryote. RNAcentral's name for it is "partial 18S ribosomal RNA". It matches the Rfam family "Eukaryotic small subunit ribosomal RNA", at positions 1470 to 1796 of the family's 1831-position model. The record is from RNAcentral.